AUAUAUAUAAGUCUGAAGGGACUUAUGAUAUUCACACAUAGCAUCCCAGAAUUUUCUAAUUCUACGUUGUUACAAGUUCAUCUACGGAAUGGCUAAGCUAUUGAUGCUGUUAUUUCUAGUUGGAUUUUUGGCGAUUUCAAUUCUGCCUGAAUUUGCCGAAGCUCAAUAUGGUGGCCCGUGUUAUCCGACCUGUCGAUAUGGCACUUAUAUUUGUGGGUACUGUAGACACCCCUACCGGCCUUACAGAUGUUGCGGCGGCGGAGGAAGAGGAUACCCAUAGUAGUACCAAAGGAUUUCGUCAAAUACACUAAAACAGCAAUUGACCAAUACCAGUGUUACCAACAAAAAAAAGCGUCAGCAGAGGUUACCAAGAUAAAAUAAGCAAUUCAUUUGAAAUUUACAACUUUCUGUUUUUUUCUUUACGUUUUUCCUCUUAUCUUACAUAAAAACACAAAUGAAAUGAAAUUUGAUAAUAAAAGUGAUACAUUA
Ruditapes philippinarum (Manila clam) is the source of this 489-nucleotide long non-coding RNA. RefSeq lists it as uncharacterized. The transcript has 3 exons. The record is from RefSeq and is a predicted model, not a curated record. NCBI's taxonomy places the organism in Eukaryota, Metazoa, Mollusca, Bivalvia, Venerida, Veneridae.